AUCACACGCGGCGUGAUUGCGGACGAAUAGGAAGGAGUCAAGUUACUGCUUUGUGCCAGAUAGCCCCUAAGUAUAAAACUUUUUGUUUGUAUCUCGUAAAAAAGCUCAUCAACAGGAUCUAGCACUGUAGCCAUAGACAGUAAGAUCGAACAAGCCAUGGACCUUGUGAAGAGUCACUUGAUGUUUGCUGUGAGAGAAGAAGUAGAUGUACUGAAAGAGAAGAUUGGAGAACUUCUGGAAAAGAUUUCCCAACUUGAAUAUGAAAAUGGAAUAUUAAAAGCUAAUGCUUCUCAAGAAACUCUAAGUAAACUCUCCCAGCCUGGUUCUAAUGUUACCUCUAAGUCUCACCAUGCUUUAACAUCCAGUGUAGGAGUUACACCUCACCAACAGGCUUCUCUACCAGUUCACCCACAACAUCAGAGUUCUUCCACAUAACUUGUACUUAAACAUGGACAGACAGUUCUUGUUUGUAAAUAUCAAUGAAAGGUAUUUAAUGUAAAUGUACAGGAUAUGUUGUUGAGACACUUAUUUGUUAGGAAACAGCUCCGUAAGGAGGCAGAAUAUGGUGAACAGAUACAGUCAGAUGGAAAAGACAAAAAAAAAAUUGUUCUGCAGAAACCCAGUCAUUGGGAUUACUUAUAGCUGGCUAUUUAAAUAUGUUAUGAAAACAUGUUGUUUCUUACUAUCACAUCCCAGAAUAUCUAGUGUUUUCAAUUUUUUGGAAGCAGGAAAAGUCUUUUGUUUCAAAUUUCCAAAUCAGUCAAGUUUUUUUUUUUCUAAAAGACACACUAAUUUCUAAUUAGUACUCCUUUCUAAAUUAUUUUAUAAAGUAUAACUGAUCAUCCAGUUAAUCUUAUAAUUUCACAACUACGUGUACCUGGACUUAGUCAAGUUUUAGUUGAACUAGGUUUUCUCAUUAAAAUGUUAUGAAAUUUGAUAAUUUAGAGAAACAGGUAUUCUGAAAUACAUUCUGAAGUCAUAAAUGAUGUUUUAAAAAUAAAAUAGAGGAGGGAACCUUGAUUUCACUAAACUUUCAUAUAGAUAUUUAAUUAUUGUAGGUGUAACUUCACAAAAAAUGUGGGUAAAAUCCAACCUGAGAGAAAACUUUUAUAAAGUUAAACAUAUUUUAGUGAAAUAAAAAAUCAAUUAAAAAUACCAGUAUUUUAAACUUUCCUCUUUCUGUUGGCAAGCCGAUCUCUCAGUCUCAUAUAUUCAUAUUUUAUCUUUUCGUCAAAUCCUUGUUGUAUUCCAUUUAACCCUUCAUCUCUAUUAUUCAAAAUGUAUCUUAGCAGUUCAGUUAUUCAACAUCUGGAACGAUUUAAAGAUAGGCCAAUUUAGUAUAUAUAAUCAGCAAAAAAGUUUUAAAAGUUGGUGCCUAUCAUAAACCAAGUUUUUUUUGUGGUUAUGAGCUCUUAUUGAUACUUUCCUACAGCAUAUAGAUUAAAUCUUGUAAAAGUUCUUGGGAACAUAUGCUGACAGGAUUAUAACUGAUUAUUCCAUAUAAUGUGAAGUAAAUAAUUUGUAUUUGAAUUUAACAGCUGUUUUAUUGAUAGUAAUAUCAGUAAAAUGUUGAACAAGCUGUUUACCCCAAAAUCUUAGUUUGAGGUGCUUAAUAAACCAACAGUAUUAUAUUUGUACAAAAAUAAUCAUAAUAUGUUAAAAAGAAGUUUCAGACCUCUGCAGAACUUGUUCACAUAUAUAAGUCACAUUUAUGUUCAAAUCUUUUAUAUCUGUCCACAUAUAUUAUUCACAUUUGUGUUCAAAUCCUUUAUAUCUGUCCACAUAUAUUAUUCACACUUGUGUUCAAAUCUUUUAUAUCUGUCCACAUAUAUUAUUCACAUUUGUGUUCAAAUCCUUUAUAUCUGUCCACAUAUAUUAUUCACACUUGUGUUCAAAUCUUUUAUAUCUGUCCACAUAUAUUAUUCAUAUUUGUGUUCAAAUCCUUUAUAUCUGUCCACAUAUAUUAGUCACAUUUGUGUUCAAAUCCUACAUAAGAAUAAGAAAUUUAUUCAUUUUAAGGAUAUCAUUCUUAAGAAUAAAUUGUAAUUUGUCAUCUAUAAAUUAACAUGUCCUUGCUCUGCCAAAAGUAUUUUAUGGUUUUACCACUACAUGGUUGUCUUCUAGUAUAAAACACUUGUAGUAAAACUGAGAAAUUAUCAAACAUUGUAUGGCAUGUUAGGACAAAAUGUGAUGUAACUUUCAAAACUGGCAUGUUUGUAUGGCUGAUCUGAAGAUGAAGAGCAAUUAAGAAAUUGUGACAAUUUGGUGAUUGGAAACUGAAGCUGAUGAUUAGUCACCAGAACAUGGUGGUACUGCUUUUCGUCAAACUGUGGCCCUUUUCCCAAUUUUGAAUCUCUAAAGCUCUUAAGUUUCAUCAAAUCUGCAGCUGCCAAAGAGUUUUCUGUUUCAUUGCUUGAACUUUUUAUUCCACAAAUUUAUCUACUGUUUAAUUCUAAACUCUUAAAACAGUUUUGAUACAUAGCUUUAUAGUUUUUAAUUUUUUGAUAUGUAUCUUUUCACUUGGUAAUUUCUUUGUCUCCCUUGAUAUAUGUCAUGUUUUUUACUCCUGACUCUUCUCUUCUAUAAGUACAUAUUCUCAUAAAACAGAUUAAGAAUUCUUCCUGCCAGUUUGCUAAUAUUCAGUCUUUUCUCUAACUGACAGCUUCAAAAGAUAAUAUUUUGUCCUUUUUGUAAUUAACUCAUUAGACCAAUAUGGGGUACUCUGCAUUGAUAUUGCUUCAGUUUUAUAAAAGAAAUGUUUUUUUAGAACCAAAUGGUCAUGUGUAUUUUUAGAAGUUGCAAUUUUGACUUUUAAAAUUUUAGCCUUUGCUGCUAUAUAUUUAGCACUUUGAGGUAAUUUAUGUGGUCCCUUAUAAAGUAAUGUCCUAAAAUACUUGUAAGCUUUUGCUGUUUGGUAGUGUAGCAACAGAUGUACUUUUGAAUGGCAAACAGAUGAAGCACAAGUUAAAAGAUGUGCUAGUGUUAGUUCAGAUUUGUCUUGAAUUUUGGGGUUGGUGAAAAUCCGAAUAGCAUUAGCAAGAUACAUUGAUUUUUUCAAAAAUUUCUUUUAUAUUUUUGAUAAUGACAAUAAUCAUGCAUUUGUAAUAUUUUGAAUUACUCAGGAUAAAAAUGGGAAAUCACUUAUAGUGAAAACAGAGAGAGAAAGUGGCAAUCUAGCAAGCUCCACUGAGAAGUAAGUCUGAAGGGCUACCAUGUUAUUUAUGGUAGUUCAGUGAUCUAACCAAUCAUGCAGGAUAUGUAAACACUUGAUAGAUACAUACAAAAAACAUGAAGUAUUUAUAUUGGAACAUAUUCUGUUAAAUUGAUUAUAGAUUUAGAACAUAUUGACUUCUUUGUUAAUGUACUAUACUUUUAUAUUUUUCUGAAGGAAAAUUAUAUGUUUGCUAUGAGCAUAAUGUGAAAUGUAAAAAUAUUUCUUGAUUUAAAAUGAAGAGUUGUUACUCAUAUUCCUUAUUAUUUAUGCAGCAACUGAAAUGGAUUAAGAGUGUAUGUUUAUUUAUACUUAAUCCAUGUUUGUGUUCUGUAGGACACUGGUAUGUUAGGUUUUAUUGUUCUUGUUAUCAGUUUUAUUUCUUUUUAUUUUAAAGAAAAAGUUCUGGUAUUAUUUAUUUGUA
RNAcentral lists this unclassified non-coding RNA (3635 nucleotides) under Limulus polyphemus (Atlantic horseshoe crab). RNAcentral's name for it is "tSC22 domain family protein 1-like, transcript variant X2". Lineage: Eukaryota; Metazoa; Arthropoda; Merostomata; Xiphosura; Limulidae. The record is from RNAcentral.